Non-coding RNA from Struthio camelus australis, 1601 nucleotides. Lineage: Eukaryota; Metazoa; Chordata; Aves; Struthioniformes; Struthionidae. The record is from RefSeq and is a predicted model, not a curated record.
UUCAAAUAUCGUUACUGUUUUGUGUAGCUUUGUACCAGUGUGUAUAUAUGUAUGAUGUGUAUAUGUAUAUAGUUAUACAAUAGGAAUAAGGUCUGUUUACUAUUAGGUGUAUAGCGUUGGAAUUUUCCUUGUAUAGCGUUAAUACCUUUACUGUUAUAAUUGAUUCUGUUCUGCUGUCACAUGCCAUGGCAUUUGUAAGCCCUCUCGCACCUCAAGAAGGCAACCUGCUGGUCAUCCAAAAGAAUCUGCAGGUGGCAAUCAGCUGUUUAACAUGCCUUUCUUGUGGUGCGCUGGCACUGUUGGCAUGAGCUGCCACAGAGAUUAACCUGUUGCCCUGUCUCUUCUGUCUUAUUUUCUCCUUUCCAUUUCUGCUGGUUUCAGUGAUCAUCUGGCUGGUCUUCAGUUCAUUCAGAUCUAGGUUUAAGAAGUAGUAUAAGAUUUAUUCAUUGUAAAUUCAGUUUAGGUUCCUGAGCACUGGCUUUUCUAUACACUGGAGUCUGAUUCACGCUAGAUGGCUGUUACAAUCGUACUACAAAAUAAUUACUUGAACUUGCAAUUUCUGUCUUUAAACAUAAAGUUGUUUGCUCAGGAGACUUGACUUUUUACCAGUUUGCAGGGUGUCUUGGCUGACACUGUUCUCUUACAGUGUUACCAUUUCUUCAAGGAGUCCAGAAACGCAUAAGCAGUCAUAUGUUGUCAUCAUCUUUGGUCCUUUGACUUUCUUGAAAACAAUACAUCUACUUGGAUCACUGCUGUGCAUAAUAAAUUAACAAUAUUUAAAUUGGUGCUGGAUCUGUUGAAGACCCUGACAAAUCCCACCCCACUGGUCUCAACUGUGGAAUGCUGUUCUUGGAUGUUCUCCCUAAAGUACUUGUGAUAUGUGGAGCUGUUGACACCAGUGAAGCAAAGGUGGUUUCUCUAUUUCAUUGUUUGGUGAUCCUCAUAGGAAAACUCUAGACAUGGCUGCUUACUGUUCCCUGUGUGCUGGGCUUACAUACCUAAUUGUGGUGGCCGUUUAUCUGAAGCCCUGCCUGGAAGGACUCUGAGCCACACCAUCCACAUAGCUGUGGAAAAGCCAACCUUGAUCUGCAGGAAAAAGAUCUGAGGAAAGCAGAAGCUCUUAUUGUGGUGGUCACAAGCAGAGAUGAGUGCAAAUGGAUGUAUGAACACAUCUGUUCCUAGAACUCCUAAGUAUCAAAGCAGUGAUACAGUUCUCAGUCAACAAAUUCAGACUGGAAAGCAAUAUGGAAUACAACUUUCAGGCGUAAAUACUAUCAGUCUGUCUUCUGUUUUUCACAGAUCAUUCAUGCCAGGUUGGGACCAUUGUCUCUUACUCCAAUUGUCAAAGUAAAACCUGUAAUUUAUACUCAGUUAUGAUGGAGAUAUGAAGUAUUCUACAUGGGUGUGUAGUUUUAACAACAGUGUUUUGUCUUCUACCUUCACCUGUUAAAAUCAGAUAGCCUUUUUUAACUGCUUUGUUAAAGCUUUGCUUGGUGAAAAUCACAAUGUAUUUAAACUUCCAAAACAUAUAAGGACUAUCCAUCCUUUUCCCCAUAUCAUUUAAUAGUUCUCUAUCAACUAAUAAAAAUAAGUGAAACGAG